CCUACGGGUGGCAGCAGUGAGGAAUAUUGGUCAAUGGGCGCGACCCUGAACCAGCCACGUCGCGUGAGUGAUGACUUCCCUACGUGUUGUAAACUUCUUUUAUAGAGGAAUAAAGUGAGGCACGUGUGUCUGUUUCUCUGUACUAUUUCAAUCAGGCUCGGCUAACGACGUGCCAGCAGCCGCGGUAAUACGGAGGAUCCGAGCGUUAUCCGGACUUAUUGGGUUUAAAGGGAGCGUAGAUGGGUUGUUAAGUCAGUUGUGAAAGUUUGCGGCUCAACCGUAAAAUUGCAAUUGAUACUGGCAGUCUUGAGUGCAGUUGAGGUAGGCGGAAUUCGUGGUGUAGCGGUGAAAUGCUUAGAUAUUACGAAGAACUCCGAUUGCGAAGGCAGCUUACUAAACUGCCACUGACAUUGAUGCUCGAAAGUGUGGGUAUCUAACAGGAUUAGAUACCCCUGUAGUC
This 460-nucleotide ribosomal RNA is filed under the name uncultured bacterium. RNAcentral describes it as "partial 16S ribosomal RNA". It matches the Rfam family "Bacterial small subunit ribosomal RNA", at positions 338 to 795 of the family's 1533-position model. The record is from RNAcentral.